CUCCAACCAGCCACCACGCUUCCUGAACUACUUCUUCUCGACCUACCUACUCAUCUAUGAAGAUACGCCAGUCGGUUCCUCAGUGACCCAGCUGAAGGCCUCGGAUCCGGAGGGGGAACCUCUUGUGUACGGUGUUUCAGGAGAAGAGGCCAUGCGAUAUUUCUCUGUGAACAGUGUGACUGGUGUGGUCUGGCUUCGACAGCAGCUCGACCGAGAGAGCAAGUCAGAGAUGCAGGUCGAAUUCUCCGUGAGUGACAUUCAGGAGGUCGUCAAAGACACAGUAAACAUCCAGAUUGGAGACGUGAACGAUAACGCACCAGUCUUCCAUGGGCAGCCGUACACCGUCCACAUCCCAG
Molecule: long non-coding RNA, 356 nt
Organism: Notothenia coriiceps (black rockcod)
Lineage: Eukaryota; Metazoa; Chordata; Actinopteri; Perciformes; Nototheniidae
Exons: 4
Source: RefSeq, a predicted model, not a curated record